Long non-coding RNA from Hylaeus volcanicus, 2113 nucleotides. RefSeq lists it as uncharacterized. Lineage: Eukaryota; Metazoa; Arthropoda; Insecta; Hymenoptera; Colletidae. The record is from RefSeq and is a predicted model, not a curated record. The transcript is spliced from 3 exons.
UAUAAAAAAAAAGUUAAUUUUUGAAAUGUCGGGUGCCAAGUUCACAUAACUCCGAAAUGCGAGGUGAAAGUAUCUCGUCUCAUGAACUCCGAGGGGUGGUUUUAUUCCCUAAAUACGAAGACACAGGCGAAUGUAAAAAGAAUCACGGUAGCGAAUGGAGGCGAUCGCCGCAAAGAUUCUCCUCGCGAAUCCAGCUGCAGUAAUUCUAGGAUUACUUUCAUAACUUUGGAAAAAAGAGAAGUAUUUACUCCUGUACGCAACAGCGUUACGUAGCUGCACUUUCUUCCCUGAAGAAGUGGAGCAGAUGAGCUGAAGAGGAUGAUUUAAUCUGUCUCGCACCAGGCCACUCGGCCCCGAGGCAAGAUCCGCGCAUAACCAGCCCGUUUAGAUUCCCAACACGAUUAGCUAAUCGCCAUUAACGAUUUACCGUGGAUUACGCCUGCGGUCGCGGUUCACCCUAUUAAUAUUGUUGCAUAAUCACGCAUUUGCGCCACACUUACCCGCGACGAAUGUGUAGCAUUUUGCGAAUAAUCGGACAUUCCGACGCUGCCGCGGUUUUUCUAUUUUCCCGAGAGAAAGAAACUUUUUUUUUUUUUUUUAACGUUAAAGCUUCGAGCAUUUCUUCUUCGAUUCUUUCUUUCGAGGUACCGUUAGCAUUUCUAAUUUCAAGUACAGUUUCGACUUCGCCAUUCCUAUUUUUAUACGAAAGUUCAACUCGAACGUUUUUCAUCGAUUCUACACUCGUCCAUCGAGCACAUCUCGCGCAUCCAUUAGGAUCCAAGGAACGUUGCGUUGUCCGGCAUUCCUGAUUUCAUACGUGACAGACGUUUUCACAGAUUGCACGUGCUCCCCACGCUACAGCCUUUAGAAAAUCAGGCUACUUCGUCCGCCUCGGCGUUUCAUAGCAACUGCAACAGUAUUUCAUGAUGAAAGUCUCUUCCUUUUCAGCGGUGCACAAAACCGAUAAAAACCGAAGAAAAUUGUAAAUAAAUGAGACAACGUUUAUCGCUACUUUAUUCCUUACAAAUCCAAAUUUCGUGCAACUUUGGUCUCCACGAAGAUGUAACGCGACCAACAACGAAAAAGGUUGCGCACCGCUGCCUUAAAUCAUUAAUCUCUCCUUUAAAAAGUGCUCGCGCCAGUCGCUGACGGCGAUGAGCUUUAGCAACUAUGAAAUACUGUUGCAAACUAUCCAUUAUGUCAGGGAAUUUGUCUUAGAAAAAAUACUACACAACAUCUCCGCCUACCGUAUCUUCAUCAAACAAAGAAAAACGUUUCCACCUUCGUCGUUGCCUCUUAUUUCCUUGGAUUUCAUUUCCAAAGAUUUCAUUCCGCAGCAACGUGGCUGCUUAGUCCUCUCGAUUUUUUUUAUUGUACGCUUCUUACGCAAUUUCAAUAGGAAAGGCGAAUAGAAAGAUCGAACCGAGAUGCUUCCCUAUCUUCUAAUAGCUUCUCUACAUUAUAGCGAGCACGUUAGCGUUUCAUCACCGUUGCAACGCCGAAGGAGUGGUUACUAUUGCGUGUCGCAACCGAGUUAGGGUGCUUCAGGCACAUAAAUUUGCUUAAUAAUAGUACGAAACGAACGGUUAAGCCGUAGACACUGUUCUCGUUUAAACGAUGCUCAACCCUGUUCGCUUCUUUCUAAACGACCCACCUGCGAGCAAUUAUGAAAGCUUGCGUCCUCUAAAAGCAAACACCGCCGUGCAACAGUGUCUUCUUGCAGCAAGGCUCUAACCUGAAUCGUUCUCAAGUCGUUUCACGAAUUAAAAUUCAGAUGGCUCGAGUGGAAAGCAACACGAUCUGAGAUGUGGAAUACAACAAUAAAAGUCGUCGACAAGUUCGAAGCUCGUUGGUAAACAUCAGACAAUAUACGAAUUGUACAAUAAACACAAGUUCACUUCCGAGCUUUGAUGGUGGUCGCCGAAAUUGUUCCCGCCACCUGGCGAACCCUGAUUGUUAUUGCCAGCAUAAUUCCCUGGAACUCCGUAUUGAGUGUUUAACUGAGGCUCGCAAUGCACCAUUCCUAUGCUCGCCACCAACACUAGCCAUAACUAAAAAUUAAAACGUCGUGUAGUUACUAGAAUCACUUGGGGUAAAUAAAUAUUCGCAAAAG